RNAcentral lists this ribosomal RNA (313 nucleotides) under Bacillus pumilus. RNAcentral describes it as "bacterial SSU rRNA". It matches the Rfam family "Bacterial small subunit ribosomal RNA", at positions 56 to 353 of the family's 1533-position model. Lineage: Bacteria; Bacillati; Bacillota; Bacilli; Caryophanales; Bacillaceae. The record is from RNAcentral.
AGUGCCGUGACUGCAGUCGACGGUACGGAAGAGCUUGCUUCUUUGCUGACGAGUGGCGGACGGGUGAGUAAUGUCUGGGAAACUGCCUGAUGGAGGGGGAUAACUACUGGAAACGGUAGCUAAUACCGCAUAACGUCGCAAGACCAAAGAGGGGGACCUUCGGGCCUCUUGCCAUCGGAUGUGCCCAGAUGGGAUUAGCUAGUAGGUGGGGUAACGGCUCACCUAGGCGACGAUCCCUAGCUGGUCUGAGAGGAUGACCAGCCACACUGGAACUGAGACACGGUCCAGACUCCUACGGGAGGCAGCAGUGGGA